AUGCUCGCUUUGGCAGCACAUAUACUAAAUUUGUAACUAUAUAGAGAAGAUUAGCAUGGCCCCUGCACAAGGAAGACACACAAAUUCGUGAAGUGUUCUAUAUUUUU
Molecule: small nuclear RNA, 107 nt
Organism: Suncus etruscus (white-toothed pygmy shrew)
Lineage: Eukaryota; Metazoa; Chordata; Mammalia; Eulipotyphla; Soricidae
Source: RefSeq, a predicted model, not a curated record